Long non-coding RNA from Homo sapiens (human), 473 nucleotides. The record is from Ensembl. NCBI's taxonomy places the organism in Eukaryota, Metazoa, Chordata, Mammalia, Primates, Hominidae.
GGAGGCCACAAGACCAGAUGAGCCAGUUUAUUGAUCUGGGUGGUGCUAGCCGAUCCAUGAAGUGUAGGGUCUACAAAAUACGUCAAGCACUGAUCUUAGGUUCUACAAUAGUUAUGUUAUUCCCAGGAACAAUUUGAGGAGGUUCAGAAUCUUGCCACUUCCAGCUGCAUGACUCCUAAACCAUAAUUUCUAAUCCUGUAGCUAAUUUGUUAGUCCUUUAAAAAAAAAGCAGUCUAGCCCCCCAGGCAGGAAGGGUGUUUAUUUUGGGAAAGAGCUGUUAUUGUCUUUGUUUCAAAGCUAAACUAUAAACUAAGUUCCUCCCAAAGUUCAUUGGGCCCACACCCAAGAAUGAACAAGCACAACUUGAAGGUUUGAAAAUUAAAGAACAAGGAGAUGGCUGGCUAUUUAAGAAGGAAAGGCAGAGGCUGCAGAAAUUGAGCCUAACGGCUUAUCAGAUGGGAUGGAUAAUUCUU